UGGAAAUAGCAGGCAACCUGAAAAAAGAAAUUAGACAUGACAUUACACCACGCAAUAUAAAAAGGCUUCCUCUCCAGAGAAUUUUAUACAUGAGUAUCUGAGACAAAAAUCUUCUGAAACCAACAACAGGCCUACUACAUAAUAUAUCUCAAUCCGAUCUUCCAAGUGACCAAAUAUCCUCUACCUAACUAAGGCAAAGAACUUACAGAGAAAUAGCACUUGGAAGAG
This 228-nucleotide unclassified non-coding RNA is filed under the name Hevea brasiliensis (rubber tree). The record is from RNAcentral. Lineage: Eukaryota; Viridiplantae; Streptophyta; Magnoliopsida; Malpighiales; Euphorbiaceae.